UAUGGUGGCUAUAGCUGCGGGGUUCCACCUCUUCCCAUUCCGAACAGAGAAGUUAAGACCGCUUGCGCCGAUGGUACUGCAUUUCGUGGGAGAGUAGGUCGCCGCCUUUU
This 110-nucleotide ribosomal RNA is filed under the name Bacteroidales bacterium. Lineage: Bacteria; Pseudomonadati; Bacteroidota; Bacteroidia; Bacteroidales. The record is from RNAcentral.